Pyrus x bretschneideri (Chinese white pear) is the source of this 363-nucleotide long non-coding RNA. RefSeq lists it as uncharacterized. The transcript is spliced from 2 exons. NCBI's taxonomy places the organism in Eukaryota, Viridiplantae, Streptophyta, Magnoliopsida, Rosales, Rosaceae. The record is from RefSeq and is a predicted model, not a curated record.
GGAACAUAGAAGCGUCCUGGAUGGUGAUUCAGGGACGCUUCGUUCAGUGUAGAAACCAGGCUGCUUUGGAGUCGGCAAGGCAACAUCACUGCUCAACAUCAGAACCACAGAUGACAUUCUUGGUCUAUCCUCAGGUCCAAAGCCACCUUCUCCCAGCUUGUUGCAGUUUGAAAAGCCGUUGGUGGCUUUAGCUAUGGUGGUCAAGUCAAACAGUGGUAACUCCAUGUCUUCCCCGUCUUCUCCACGGUACUCUUCUCUGCAAUCCUUUGGUCUGAGUCCUGAAAUAGUAGAAGAUUCUUCAGCAUGGAUAAAAAGAUGUGAACAGUUAGCUACACUAUCGAAAUUAAAUACUGCCUUAUCAAA